GACGGAGGAGGCAAGCGUUAUCCGGAAUUAUGGGGCGUAAAGGGUACGUCGGCGGCUGGUCAAGUCUGGGGUCAAAGGCCACAGCUCAACUGUGGGAAGGCCCUGGAAACUGACCGGCUAGAGUGAGGUAGGGGUUGCGGGAAUUCCCGGUGUAGCCGUGAAAUGCGUAGAGAUCGGGAAGAACACCUGAGGCGGAAGCGCGCAACUGGGCCUCAACUGACGCUGAGGUACGAAAGCUAGGGGAGCGAAUGGG
RNAcentral lists this ribosomal RNA (253 nucleotides) under uncultured bacterium. RNAcentral's name for it is "partial 16S ribosomal RNA". It matches the Rfam family "Bacterial small subunit ribosomal RNA", at positions 524 to 776 of the family's 1533-position model. The record is from RNAcentral.